CCUACGGGUGGCAGCAGUGAGGAAUAUUGGUCAAUGGGCGUAAGCCUGAACCAGCCAAGUCGCGUGAGGGAAGAAGGUUCUAUGGAUCGUAAACCUCUUUUAUAAGGGAAUAAAAUGCGGGACGUGUCCCGUUUUGUAUGUACCUUAUGAAUAAGGAUCGGCUAACUCCGUGCCAGCACCCGCGGUAAUACGGAGGAUGCGAGAGUUAUCCGGAUUUAUUGGGUUUAAAGGGUGCGUAGGCGGCGUUUUAAGUCAGCGGUGAAAGUCUGUGGCUCAACCAUAGAAUUGCCGUUGAAACUGGGAGGCUUGAGUAUGCUUGAGGCAGGCGGAAUGCGUGGUGUAGCGGUGAAAUGCGUAGAUAUCACGCAGAACUCCGAUUGCGAAGGCAGCUUGCCAAGGCAUGACUGACGCUGAGGCACGAAAGCGUGGGUAUCAAACAGGAUUAGAUACCCCUGUAGUC
This 460-nucleotide ribosomal RNA is filed under the name uncultured bacterium. RNAcentral's name for it is "partial 16S ribosomal RNA". It matches the Rfam family "Bacterial small subunit ribosomal RNA", at positions 338 to 795 of the family's 1533-position model. The record is from RNAcentral.